GCCGAGGUGGCGGAACUGGUAGACGCGCCGGACUCAAAAUCCGGUGGUGGUGACACUGUGAGGGUUCGAGUCCCUCCCUCGGUA
Molecule: transfer RNA, 84 nt
Filed under: Gammaproteobacteria bacterium RIFCSPHIGHO2_01_FULL_42_8
Lineage: Bacteria; Pseudomonadati; Pseudomonadota; Gammaproteobacteria
Also listed under: 4 other names
Description: tRNA-Leu
Rfam family: tRNA
About the family: Transfer RNA (tRNA) molecules are approximately 80 nucleotides in length.
Source: RNAcentral